Molecule: transfer RNA, 72 nt
Filed under: Camelus ferus (Wild Bactrian camel)
Lineage: Eukaryota; Metazoa; Chordata; Mammalia; Artiodactyla; Camelidae
Rfam family: tRNA
About the family: Transfer RNA (tRNA) molecules are approximately 80 nucleotides in length. Their secondary structure includes four short double-helical elements and three loops (D, anti-codon, and T loops).
Source: Rfam by way of RNAcentral
GAGGGUACAGCUCAGUGGUAGAGGGCAUGCCUAGCAUGCACAAGGUCCUGGGUUCAAUCCCCAGUAUCUCCA